This 447-nucleotide ribosomal RNA is filed under the name uncultured bacterium. RNAcentral describes it as "bacterial SSU rRNA". It matches the Rfam family "Bacterial small subunit ribosomal RNA", at positions 355 to 825 of the family's 1533-position model. The record is from RNAcentral.
UGGGGAAUAUUGGACAAUGGGCGCAAGCCUGAUCCAGCCAUGCCGCGUGAGUGAAGAAGGCCUUAGGGUUGUAAAACUCUUUCGCCGGGGAAGAUAAUGACGGUACCCGGAGAAGAAGCUCCGGCUAACUUCGUGCCAGCAGCCGCGGUAAUACGAAGGGAGCUAGCGUUGUUCGGAAUUACUGGGCGUAAAGCGCACGUAGGCGGACUUGUCAGUCAGGGGUGAAAUCCCAAGGCUCAACCUUGGAACUGCCUCCGAUACAGCAAGCCUAGAGAUCGGGAGAGGUGAGUGGAAUUCCUAGUGUAGAGGUGAAAUUCGUAGAUAUUAGGAAGAACACCAGUGGCGAAGGCGGCUCACCGGCCCGAUACUGACGCUGAGGUGCGAAAGCGUGGGGAGCAAACAGGAUUAGAUACCCGGGUAGUCCCUGAGCGGGCUGGCAAGGCGCAU